CUACGGGGCACUGCAGUGGGGAAUAUUGGACAAUGGGCGAAAGCCUGAUCCAGCCAUGCCGCGUGUGUGAAGAAGGCCUUCGGGUUGUAAAGCACUUUCAGUGGGGAAGAAAGCCUUGGGGCUAAUACCCUCGAGGAAGGACAUCACCCACAGAAGAAGCACCGGCUAACUCCGUGCCAGCAGCCGCGGUAAUACGGAGGGUGCGAGCGUUAAUCGGAAUUACUGGGCGUAAAGCGCGCGUAGGCGGUCUGAUAAGCCGGUUGUGAAAGCCCCGGGCUCAACCUGGGAACGGCAUCCGGAACUGUCAGGCUAGAGUGCAGGAGAGGAAGGUAGAAUUCCCGGUGUAGCGGUGAAAUGCGUAGAGAUCGGGAGGAAUACCAGUGGCGAAGGCGGCCUUCUGGACUGACACUGACGCUGAGGUGCGAAAGCGUGGGUAGCAAACAGGAUUAGAUACCCCUGUAGUC
RNAcentral lists this ribosomal RNA (464 nucleotides) under Vreelandella stevensii. RNAcentral's name for it is "partial 16S ribosomal RNA". It matches the Rfam family "Bacterial small subunit ribosomal RNA", at positions 339 to 795 of the family's 1533-position model. The record is from RNAcentral. Lineage: Bacteria; Pseudomonadati; Pseudomonadota; Gammaproteobacteria; Oceanospirillales; Halomonadaceae.